RNAcentral lists this ribosomal RNA (439 nucleotides) under uncultured bacterium. RNAcentral's name for it is "partial 16S ribosomal RNA". It matches the Rfam family "Bacterial small subunit ribosomal RNA", at positions 339 to 795 of the family's 1533-position model. The record is from RNAcentral.
CUACGGGAGGCUCCAGUGAGGAAUAUUGCACAAUGGGGGGAACCCUGAUGCAGCAACGCCGCGUGGAGGAUGACGCAUUUCGGUGUGUAAACUCCUUUUAUAUGUCAAGAAAAUGACGGUAGCAUAUGAAUAAGCACCGGCUAACUCCGUGCCAGCAGCCGCGGUAAUACGGAGGGUGCAAGCGUUACUCGGAAUCACUGGGCGUAAAGGACGCGUAGGCGGGUUGGAAAGUCAGGUGUGAAAUCCUAUAGCUUAACUGUAGAACUGCACUUGAAACUUCUAAUCUAGAGUAUGGGAGGGGGAGAUGGAAUUAGUGGUGUAGGGGUAAAAUCCGUAGAUAUCACUAGGAAUACCUAAAGCGAAGGCGAUCUCCUGGAACAUUACUGACGCUAAGGCGUGAAAGCGUGGGGAGCAAACAGGAUUAGAUACCCCAGUAGUC